GACGAACGCUGGCGGCGUGCUUAACACAUGCAAGUCGAACGGAAAGGCCCUGCUUUUGUGGGGUGCUCGAAUGGCGAACGGGUGAGUAGCACGUGAGUAACCUGCCCUUGACUUUGGGAUAACUUCAGGAAACUGGGGCUAAUACCGGAUAGGAGCUCCUGCUGCAUGGUGGGGGUUGGAAAGUUUCGGCGGUUGGGGAUGGACUCGCGGCUUAUCAGCUUGUUGGUGGGGUAGUGGCUUACCAAGGCUUUGACGGGUAGCCGGCCUGAGAGGGUGACCGGCCACAUUGGGACUGAGAUACGGCCCAGACUCCUACGGGAGGCAGCAGUGGGGAAUAUUGCACAAUGGGCGGAAGCCUGAUGCAGCAACGCCGCGUGCGGGAUGACGGCCUUCGGGUUGUAAACCGCUUUCGCCUGUGACGAAGCGUGAGUGACGGUAAUGGGUAAAGAAGCACCGGCUAACUACGUG
Molecule: ribosomal RNA, 468 nt
Filed under: uncultured bacterium
Lineage: Bacteria
Description: partial 16S ribosomal RNA
Rfam family: Bacterial small subunit ribosomal RNA
Source: RNAcentral